RNAcentral lists this ribosomal RNA (182 nucleotides) under Leishmania major. RNAcentral's name for it is "partial 5.8S ribosomal RNA". The stretch from base 113 to 182 matches the Rfam family "5.8S ribosomal RNA", at positions 1 to 70 of the family's 154-position model. The record is from RNAcentral. Lineage: Eukaryota; Euglenozoa; Kinetoplastea; Trypanosomatida; Trypanosomatidae.
CGCCUAUACACAAAAGCAAAAAUGUCCGUUUAUACAAAAAAAUAGACGGCGUUUCGGUUUUUGGCGGGAGGGAGAGAGAGGGGGGUGCGUGCGCGUGGAUAACGGCUCACAUAACGUGUCGCGAUGGAUGACUUGGCUUCCUAUUUCGUUGAAGAAGCAGUAAAGUGCGAUAAGUGGUAUCA